RNAcentral lists this ribosomal RNA (253 nucleotides) under uncultured bacterium. RNAcentral's name for it is "partial 16S ribosomal RNA". It matches the Rfam family "Bacterial small subunit ribosomal RNA", at positions 524 to 776 of the family's 1533-position model. The record is from RNAcentral.
UACGAGAGGCCCAAACGUUAUUCGGAUUUACUGGGCUUAAAGAGUUUGUAGGCGGUUCGGUAAGUGAGAUGUGAAAGCCCUCGGCUCAACCGAGGAAUUGCGUUUCAAACUGCCGGGCUCGAGGGAGAUAGAGGUGAGCGGAACUGAUGGUGGAGCGGUGAAGUGCGUUGAUAUCAUCAGGAACACCAGAGGCGAAGGCGGCUCACUGGGUCUCUUCUGACGCUGAGAAACGAAAGCUAGGGGAGCAAACGGG